Eriocheir sinensis (Chinese mitten crab) is the source of this 1750-nucleotide long non-coding RNA. RefSeq lists it as uncharacterized. The transcript has 8 exons. Lineage: Eukaryota; Metazoa; Arthropoda; Malacostraca; Decapoda; Varunidae. The record is from RefSeq and is a predicted model, not a curated record.
UCCUGCAUGGUCAGGCAGUGCCAACUCCAGCUGUACGGGCAUGUGGCACGCUACCCACCCUGCGCACCGGGCUGUUUCAGAGUGGAAGAGGCUGAGGGAAUGCCCACGAAGCUCACAGAUUCCGCGUCUCCAUGGACCCUGCCGCAAGACUUCCAGCGCUGGGCCCGGCCGCUGCAAGCCUUGUUGGGUCAGCAUGUGGGAAGUCACCGAGAUGGAGUUUGAGGCGGUCGGCCUCAACCAUGAGGGUGCGCAUGGAUCUGUAGCGGCAGCCUGGUGUAAUUAUGUACAUCGGCUGGCCGUGAGCCUUGCCAGGGAGUGCUGGGCGGCCUGGUGCCCCGGCUGAAGGCAAGCGGCCUCCCUGAGACACCCAAAGACUGGCUGACAGAAGGUCUUGUGGUGGUACUGGUGUCUGAAGGCUGUGCAGUGGUGCAGACACAGGCUCAGAGUGCCCAGGUGGAGCAAGGCUCUGAUGCUGGUUGCCGCCUGUCUGGGAGCAGACUCACAGAGGCCGGCGCCCUCAGCAGUGACGAGGAGUCUCCCUGAAAGCUCUCCCUCAAGGCACAGCAGCAGGCCACCGUCACCCUUGUCAUCGGGAGCACCGAGAGUAUCCCGAGGAACACUUCAAUGUCCAGGUGUGAGGAUGUCAAGCCACCACAAGCCAGGAGGGAAGUGGCUGCUGGGGCCAAUACAGCAGGUGGAGAGGGACCAUUAAGAAACAUGAUCCCGCUGCUACCACCACCGGGUUCAGCAUCACCUCUUCACCCCUGGAUGAAGGAGAUGUUUCUUGGCGGCCAAACUCAGGAGACUCACCAGAAAAGACCAUUCACCCGUGCCUUAUAUUGUGGGUGAGGAGAGCAGCCUGGACCAAGAAUCAAGAACUGGAAUGAAGAACCAAUUAAUUAAGGCUCUGAGACUGACUGAACUCCCUUGAAGUAAAAAUGAGGUGCCUGGCCAAGCUGCUGGGUCCGUGUGACCACCGCGGGGACGCUGGAGGAGCCCGGUGCUGCCUUCCUGGGGCCCACACCCUCCUCAGCAUCUCCCUGCCUUGUUACACUCAAUGACAAUAGGUGUGUGUUGAUGCUGGGACGAAGAAGAGGAGGAGGAGGAGGAAGAUGAUGAUGAUAGAGGCAACAUGAAGAAAAGAAGAAGAGGAGGAGGAGGAAGAAUGGAAGAAGAAGAACAAGAGGAGGAAGAGGAAGAAGAGAAGAAGAAACAAGCACACACACACACACACACACAGGCACAUAAGACAAACACCUAUUUUUUUUAUAUUAUCCAUUUUUAUUAGUCCAUAUAACAUACAUUAUAUACAUAUAAUGAUAUUAUACAACAUAUGCAUAAUUCUAUACAUUUGAUCAUAGAGAGUGAGAGACUUGAAAGGUGAGAAAGAGAGCCCCCCCCCUCUCUCUCUCUCUCUCUCUCUCUCUCUCUCUCUCUCUCUCUCUCUCUCUCUCUCUCUCUCUCUCUCUCUCUCUCUCUCUCUCUCUCUCUCUCUCUCUCUCUCUCUCUCUCUCUCUCUCUCUCUCUCUCUCUCUCUCUCUCUCUCUCUCCACAGCUCACAGGACCCCACGGAUGUACCCCCCAUGGUAUGUUGACAACCCCCCCACAGACGCAUACCCCCCACAGCCACAUGAAGGACCCCCCGCCCCCCCUAGCUAACAUACUGCCCACAUAGCCUUAUCAAUGUUACUAUGUGUAUGUAUGUAUAUGUGUGUGUGUGUUUUUCUAUUAAUAAAAAGUUAAUUUGUAA